AGGGCAGCUACCCAGCAAUGGGAUGCGAAUCUCGAAAGCCUGUCUCAGUUCGGAUUGGAGGCUGAAACCCGCCUCCAUGAAGUUGGAUUCGCUAGUAAUCGCGCAUCAGCCAUGGCGUGGUGAAUACGUUCCCGGGCCUUGUACACACCGCCCGUCAAGCCAUGGGAGCCGGGGGUGCCUGAAGUUCGUGACCGCAAGGAGCGACCUAGGGCAAAACUGGUGACUGGGGCUAAGUCGUAACAAGGUACC
Molecule: ribosomal RNA, 249 nt
Filed under: uncultured bacterium
Lineage: Bacteria
Description: partial 16S ribosomal RNA
Rfam family: Bacterial small subunit ribosomal RNA
Source: RNAcentral